Molecule: unclassified non-coding RNA, 236 nt
Filed under: Hevea brasiliensis (rubber tree)
Lineage: Eukaryota; Viridiplantae; Streptophyta; Magnoliopsida; Malpighiales; Euphorbiaceae
Source: RNAcentral
GGCAAUUCAAGAACGCUAAGUUGGUCAAAUUAAUGAACUCAAAAUCGUAUUCUUGGACUUGUGCUUUCGUUCUUCCCACUAUAAAUACCAUCCACAUACCAUUUGAUUUUUAUCAACCUGCAAGCUUUAGUCAAGUGAUCAAAAUCUUUAUCAUCAUCUAUUGUCUUAGAAACAAGCAAAGUCAUGUCUAACACCGCUGGACAAGUCAUUCGAUGCAAAGCUGCUGUGGCAUGGGA